RNAcentral lists this ribosomal RNA (571 nucleotides) under Ustilago sparsa. Its description in RNAcentral is "LSU rRNA". It matches the Rfam family "Eukaryotic large subunit ribosomal RNA", at positions 62 to 610 of the family's 3401-position model. The record is from RNAcentral. Lineage: Eukaryota; Fungi; Basidiomycota; Ustilaginomycetes; Ustilaginales; Ustilaginaceae.
AAACUAACAAGGAUUCCCCUAGUAACGGCGAGUGAAGAGGGAAGAGCCCAAGAUUGAAAGCUGGCGUCUUCGGCGUCCGCAUUGUAAUCUCAAGAAGUGUUUUCCGUUUCGGACCAUGCCUAAGUCUCUUGGAAAAGAGCAUCAUAGAGGGUGAUAAUCCCGUACAUGGCAUGGAGCGCCCGAGACUUUGUGAUACGCUUUCUAAGAGUCGAGUUGUUUGGGAAUGCAGCUCAAAAUGGGUGGUAAAUGCCAUCUAAGGCUAAAUAUUGGGGAGAGACCGAUAGCGAACAAGUACAGUGAUGGAAAGAUGAAAAGAACUUUGAAAAGAGAGUUAAACAGUACGUGAAAUUGCCAAAAGGGAAGGGUAGGAGGUCAGAGAUGCGUUCUGGGAUUCAGCCUUGCUUUUGCUUGGUGUUUUUCCCAGAUUGCAGGCCAACGUCGGUUUUGGGCGCUGGAGAAGGGUGGAAGGAAUGUGGCACCUCUCGGGGUGUGUUAUAGCCUUCUACUGGAUACAGUGACCGAGACCGAGGACAGCAGCGUACUCGCAAGAGCGGGCCUUCGGGCACCUUAC